Molecule: ribosomal RNA, 770 nt
Filed under: Bacillus aerius
Lineage: Bacteria; Bacillati; Bacillota; Bacilli; Caryophanales; Bacillaceae
Description: bacterial SSU rRNA
Rfam family: Bacterial small subunit ribosomal RNA
Source: RNAcentral
GCGGACAGAAGGGAGCUUGCUCCCCGGAUGUUAGCGGCGGACGGGUGAGUAACACGUGGGUAACCUGCCUGUAAGACUGGGAUAACUCCGGGAAACCGGAGCUAAUACCGGAUAGUUCCUUGAACCGCAUGGUUCAAGGAUGAAAGACGGUUUCGGCUGUCACUUACAGAUGGACCCGCGGCGCAUUAGCUAGUUGGUGAGGUAACGGCUCACCAAGGCGACGAUGCGUAGCCGACCUGAGAGGGUGAUCGGCCACACUGGGACUGAGACACGGCCCAGACUCCUACGGGAGGCAGCAGUAGGGAAUCUUCCGCAAUGGACGAAAGUCUGACGGAGCAACGCCGCGUGAGUGAUGAAGGUUUUCGGAUCGUAAAGCUCUGUUGUUAGGGAAGAACAAGUGCAAGAGUAACUGCUUGCACCUUGACGGUACCUAACCAGAAAGCCACGGCUAACUACGUGCCAGCAGCCGCGGUAAUACGUAGGUGGCAAGCGUUGUCCGGAAUUAUUGGGCGUAGAGGGCUCGCAGGCGGUUUCUUAAGUCUGAUGUGAAAGCCCCCGGCUCAACCGGGGAGGGUCAUUGGAAACUGGGAAACUUGAGUGCAGAAGAGGAGAGUGAAUUCCACGUGUAGCGGUGAAAUGCGUAGAGAUGUGGAGGAACACCAGUGGCGAAGGCGACUCUCUGGUCUGUAACUGACGCUGAGGAGCGAAAGCGUGGGGAGCGAACAGGAUUAGAUACCCUGAUACUCCACGCCGUACACGAUGAGUGCUAA